RNAcentral lists this ribosomal RNA (1529 nucleotides) under Salmonella enterica subsp. enterica serovar Madelia. Its description in RNAcentral is "bacterial SSU rRNA". It matches the Rfam family "Bacterial small subunit ribosomal RNA". Lineage: Bacteria; Pseudomonadati; Pseudomonadota; Gammaproteobacteria; Enterobacterales; Enterobacteriaceae. The record is from RNAcentral.
AGAGUUUGAUCAUGGCUCAGAUUGAACGCUGGCGGCAGGCCUAACACAUGCAAGUCGAACGGUAACAGGAAGCAGCUUGCUGCUUUGCUGACGAGUGGCGGACGGGUGAGUAAUGUCUGGGAAACUGCCUGAUGGAGGGGGAUAACUACUGGAAACGGUGGCUAAUACCGCAUAACGUCGCAAGACCAAAGAGGGGGACCUUCGGGCCUCUUGCCAUCAGAUGUGCCCAGAUGGGAUUAGCUUGUUGGUGAGGUAACGGCUCACCAAGGCGACGAUCCCUAGCUGGUCUGAGAGGAUGACCAGCCACACUGGAACUGAGACACGGUCCAGACUCCUACGGGAGGCAGCAGUGGGGAAUAUUGCACAAUGGGCGCAAGCCUGAUGCAGCCAUGCCGCGUGUAUGAAGAAGGCCUUCGGGUUGUAAAGUACUUUCAGCGGGGAGGAAGGUGUUGUGGUUAAUAACCGCAGCAAUUGACGUUACCCGCAGAAGAAGCACCGGCUAACUCCGUGCCAGCAGCCGCGGUAAUACGGAGGGUGCAAGCGUUAAUCGGAAUUACUGGGCGUAAAGCGCACGCAGGCGGUCUGUCAAGUCGGAUGUGAAAUCCCCGGGCUCAACCUGGGAACUGCAUUCGAAACUGGCAGGCUUGAGUCUUGUAGAGGGGGUAGAAUUCCAGGUGUAGCGGUGAAAUGCGUAGAGAUCUGGAGGAAUACCGGUGGCGAAGGCGGCCCCCUGGACAAAGACUGACGCUCAGGUGCGAAAGCGUGGGGAGCAAACAGGAUUAGAUACCCUGGUAGUCCACGCCGUAAACGAUGUCUACUUGGAGGUUGUGCCCUUGAGGCGUGGCUUCCGGAGCUAACGCGUUAAGUAGACCGCCUGGGGAGUACGGCCGCAAGGUUAAAACUCAAAUGAAUUGACGGGGGCCCGCACAAGCGGUGGAGCAUGUGGUUUAAUUCGAUGCAACGCGAAGAACCUUACCUGGUCUUGACAUCCACAGAACUUUCCAGAGAUGGAUUGGUGCCUUCGGGAACUGUGAGACAGGUGCUGCAUGGCUGUCGUCAGCUCGUGUUGUGAAAUGUUGGGUUAAGUCCCGCAACGAGCGCAACCCUUAUCCUUUGUUGCCAGCGAUUAGGUCGGGAACUCAAAGGAGACUGCCAGUGAUAAACUGGAGGAAGGUGGGGAUGACGUCAAGUCAUCAUGGCCCUUACGACCAGGGCUACACACGUGCUACAAUGGCGCAUACAAAGAGAAGCGACCUCGCGAGAGCAAGCGGACCUCAUAAAGUGCGUCGUAGUCCGGAUUGGAGUCUGCAACUCGACUCCAUGAAGUCGGAAUCGCUAGUAAUCGUGGAUCAGAAUGCCACGGUGAAUACGUUCCCGGGCCUUGUACACACCGCCCGUCACACCAUGGGAGUGGGUUGCAAAAGAAGUAGGUAGCUUAACCUUCGGGAGGGCGCUUACCACUUUGUGAUUCAUGACUGGGGUGAAGUCGUAACAAGGUAACCGUAGGGGAACCUGCGGUUGGAUCACCU